Molecule: ribosomal RNA, 480 nt
Filed under: uncultured bacterium
Lineage: Bacteria
Description: partial 16S ribosomal RNA
Rfam family: Bacterial small subunit ribosomal RNA
Source: RNAcentral
GAUGAACGCUAGCGGCAGGCCUAACACAUGCAAGUCGAGGGGUAGAAGGAGCUUGCUCCUUUGAGACCGGCGCACGGGUGCGUAACGCGUAUGCAAGCUACCUUGUACAGGGGAAUAGCUCAGAGAAAUUUGGAUUAAUGCCCCAUAGUAUAUAACCUUCGCAUGUUGGUUAUAUUAAAGUUCCAACGGUACAAGAUGAGCAUGCGUCCCAUUAGUUAGUUGGUAAGGUAACGGCUUACCAAGACGAUGAUGGGUAGGGGUCGUGAGAGGAGGAUCCCCCAGAGGGUGACUGAGACACGGACGACAGUCCUACGGGCGGCAGCAGUGAGGAAUAUUGGUGAAUGGUCGCAAGACUGAUCCAGCCAUGCCGCGUGCAGCAAGACGGUCCUAGGGAUGGUAAACUGCUUUUAUACAGGAAGAAACCCUUCCACGUGUGGGAGAUUGACGGUACUGUAGGAAUAAGGAUCGGCUAACUCCGUG